This 556-nucleotide ribosomal RNA is filed under the name uncultured bacterium. RNAcentral describes it as "partial 16S ribosomal RNA". It matches the Rfam family "Bacterial small subunit ribosomal RNA", at positions 355 to 899 of the family's 1533-position model. The record is from RNAcentral.
UGGGGAAUUUUGGACAAUGGGCGCAAGCCUGAUCCAGCCAUGCCGCGUGCGGGGAGAAGGCCUUCGGGUUGUAAACCGCUUUUGUCAGGGAAGAAAUCUUCUGAGUUAAUACCUCGGGAGGAUGACGGUACCUGAAGAAUAAGCACCGGCUAACUACGUGCCAGCAGCCGCGGUAAUACGUAGGGUGCAAGCGUUAAUCGGAAUUACUGGGCGUAAAGCGUGCGCAGGCGGUUUUGUAAGACAGAGGUGAAAUCCCCGGGCUCAACCUGGGAACUGCCUUUGUGACUGCAAGGCUUGAGUGCGGCAGAGGGGGAUGGAAUUCCGCGUGUAGCAGUGAAAUGCCGUAGAUAUGCGGAGGAACACCGAUGGCGAAGGCAAUCCCCUGGGCCUGCACUGACGCUCAUGCACGAAAGCGUGGGGAGCAAACAGGAUUAGAUAGCCCCUGGUAGUCCACGCCCUAAAACCGAUGUCAACUGGUUGUUGGGAAGGUUCCUUCUCAGUAACGUAGCUAACGCGUGAANUUGACCGCCUGGGGAGUACGGCCGCAAGGUUGAAA